CCAGAGGAGCAUGCGCACAGCGACUCCGCCGUUGCCACGGAUGCUGCCACAGGACACAGAACCAUGCCACGUCCAAAGGACCCACCCACACAUGCAACACAAUGCGGCGCUCCACCAUGGAUCACCGAACCAAACCACCGCUAUCACCACCGCCACCAGAAACCAGCAGAGUGCUCCGAACAAUCAGCACAACGCAAAUGGCUGAUAAUGAUAGCCUAAUGCUAUACAGCAUCUGUUUCGCUGAACUACCGCACCCAGCGAGCUACAAGUUACUCUCCGCCAACUAACACCGACACAGUGAGACUGUAUAUUGCACAGGUAACUAACCUAGUACAACCAUCCGGAAACAUUCUGUGUCGGUGCGCAGCGGUAAUCACUCUGGUAAUUGCGAGGCUUAGAGACAGAACCCUGGCAGUUAAAAUGGUGCAGCAGGAAUGCAAAGAGGAGGUGAUUGAUGAAAACUGUCUAGCAACGGAUGCUGAACAACACUGUCAACAUGGACCCACAACACUGAGAGAAAAGGAGGCAGAGUAAACAGGAGGAGAACAGAGAGGGCGACUGAGGGGUGGAGGGGUGGAGGUGUGGGUGAGAGAAUGCACAGCACUUCUAUUUCAGGCAUUGACCACCUGAUAACAACAGUGCUGAGUUGAUGUAAAUAUAUGGACGUCAUUUGUACCAGAGCAUGAGAGACAGAUUCACCUCUGUACUAUAUAGGCAGAAGGUGGUGCUCAGGGUUAAUGGCUGUCGAGCCUGUUGUGGGCUAGUAUUUCCAUAGAAGAUGGAAAGCUAAGGCUUGUUUACUGAAAAACAACAAGCCCAUGGGAUUUUAUUUAUGGAUCAAAUGCAAUAUAUCUCAGUUGUUUCUAGAUAGCAGUGUCCCUGCUUUAUUUUUCUAUUCAGAAGAACAUUAAAAGAAUGUAUCCACCCAGUUGAUGUGUGUCCAGGCCCUGAAAUAGAUAUAAAGCAAUAAGAAGGUCUGGUAGCUGGGUGUAAGGAACUAGAUCUACAUAGUAACAUGUCUAUUAUCAAUUACAACAUGAGUAAAGGACAACUACAGUAAUGUGUACAUAUAUAGAGAAACACGCACACUGCAGAAUGACAUCUCAAGGCCAGUGGUCACACCAUUAUGGGAGAAAGAAGAAGAGGUAGAGAGGCAUGGGAAAGAGUUGAUGCAUGUGUUAAACUCUUAAAUAAACAUUGUUUAUCAA
Long non-coding RNA from Coregonus clupeaformis (lake whitefish), 1208 nucleotides. RefSeq lists it as uncharacterized. The record is from RefSeq and is a predicted model, not a curated record. The transcript is spliced from 3 exons. NCBI's taxonomy places the organism in Eukaryota, Metazoa, Chordata, Actinopteri, Salmoniformes, Salmonidae.